UUUCCGUAGGUGAACCUGCGGAAGGAUCAUUAAAGUUAUACUAACCCGGCCAUCUGGGUUGGGGUCCUCCUUACAACCCCUUGGUUUUUACACCUUUGUUGCUUUGGCAGGCCUGCCCUCGGCCUGCUGGCUCCGGCCGGCUCGCGUCUGCCAGAUGAACUAAACUCUGAUUUUAUAUAAAUUCUGAGUACUAUAUAAUAGUUAAAACUUUCAACAACGGAUCUCUUGGUUCUG
This 234-nucleotide unclassified non-coding RNA is filed under the name plant metagenome. RNAcentral describes it as "partial contains small subunit ribosomal RNA, internal transcribed spacer 1, and 5.8S ribosomal RNA". The record is from RNAcentral.